This is a non-coding RNA of Rattus norvegicus (Norway rat), 1657 nucleotides long. The record is from RefSeq and is a predicted model, not a curated record. Lineage: Eukaryota; Metazoa; Chordata; Mammalia; Rodentia; Muridae.
UCACCUGCAAAGCAAACGUGAAAACAUUCACACAACCCCACAUCAAGAACAAGGAGCUGGACCUCGAAGUGUGCCACCAGGCAACACUGUAAGGUGCGGGCGACGCUCAGACUUCCUCCUGGAUGAGACAUUCAGACACAGAAUCCUCUCAGCUCCCCUCUGACUUCCUCGCAUCCCACACUGAUACUCAGUUUGUAACUUCCUCUCCUGCACCACCUCCCACUUCAGAGUAAAAGGAAAUGUUUUCACUCCGUGACAAACAGUGACAGCAAGGAAGUCAGUCCGCUCUUUGAAUAAACAGCCACUCCUUUUACAGGCUUGAUUUCUGAGUGCCCGUACAGUGCUGGUCAAAGCAGGGUACUAUCAGGGCUACGCUGCACCACCCUUCCCCUCUUUUGAGGACCUAAAAAUUCCUGGGAGAGAUUCAAGUGUUAGGCCAAAAAAUAAAUAAAAUAAAAAUGAACUUAAAUAACCCAUUUUAAAAAUUUUUCAAUCUCAACCGUUAAUUCUUUCGAAAAAUCAGUUUUUAUCAAAUGACCCUUUUGUCUCAUAAAAAGGUCCGGAGUUAAAAGCAAGGCUCAUUGUGAGCAUGAUGGCACACAUAUACAAUCCCAGCACUAAGGAGAGAGAGUCAGGAGGAUGAAGAGUUCAAGGCCAUGCUCAGCUACACGGCACAGAGGUUUUUGUGAAAGGCUCUGGACAUCUGGUACCUGGACUACACUCUGCCCAGCUCGGGAGCUCACGGCCUUUCAGAGUUUUCAGUCACAUUUGAAUUUUUUGCUUUUCUUUUCCAUGAGUCAAAUUAGAACUCGAAGACAAACAAGAACAAGAGACAGUGCUGACAAACGUGUCUGUGUUCAACACAUCUCUCAGACCCUCUGAAACCUCAGGGGCUAGGGCUUCCUCCAGUUAAGGAGAACAUCCCCAACAACAGGCGACAACAGGCAAGGGCUUGACCAGCACCUCACAGGCAGAGCGCUUCCUGCUGUGUUUCAUGACAACCUUGUGUGCAUACUCGGGUCUGAGACAAAGACAACAGCCAGUUAUGGAUCCUUGGCCAAACUGAUCAGGGUAUAGACAGAGACAUCAACCUGUCACACGGGCAGGUGCUUACACUCUUCUAAGACCAUAGCUGCUUAACACUUCCCUUUAUCGUUGCAAGUGAAACUGUCUACACAGUAUCAAAAGAUGCCACCUAGCUCUCCGACCGUAUCUUAAUCAAGUCGUCUAGAAGUUUAACCUGCUUUGCCUUUGGACCUUUUGGGCUGUUGGUGUUUGUCAUUUUCUGUUGCAUUUGUUCAGCUUCUAGUUUUCUCCAUUUCCUUUCAAGCCUCAAACAGAAAGCCACAACCGCCACCUUUCUUUAGAAUGCCUCUAACAAAUGGAUGCUUAGAGAGCAGAAGAGCUUGCCUGUUUCCAAGGACAAGGCAGAAGGGGAGCAGCACUCCCCACAUGGGAUCUGCCAUCACCAGGGUAAAACCCCCGGGAAUCGAAGUUCAGAUAACUGAACAGGGUAAGGAAGAAUGUCUAUUGUCCUUGCAGAGUCCCCUGGCAGUAGGAGUAGUGGUGGCAGUAGGAGUAGUAGUAAUGGUAAUGGUAGUUGUUGUUAUUAUUAUUAUUAUUAUUAUUAUUAUUAUUAUUAAAUACUUUAAGGCCA